CUCCACACAGUGUUGUCCUCUUUAAGCUCAUUCUCUGUGAUGAGUGAUAGGAACCUGUGGAGACACUUACGGCAUUAGAAAGCCAGCAUAUUAGCAGUAGCUGCUCAUUAAGAACAGCUAGUAACGCUCAGACAUCCAAGGAAGAUUUGAACCAUCUUUGGUUUUUAAACCUCUGGUGGAAACUACGAAUGGCAGGAAAAACAUCAUCACAGCGCAGGAAGCUGCUUCAUUUACAUAGCAAAAAGCACUAAGGAAAACUUACCUUGACUGUGCUGGAGAAAAACUGGAGUCUGCGUCAUCCUCGUCAAAAAGAACGCCGUUGAAGCGUCAACAUUAAACUGUAAGAAGAAAACGCCUUUCAGUUAAUAGUUCAAGGCCACAGCGACCAGAAUAACUGGAUCUCAAAAGAGUUAAACCAGUACAAUUAUUAUUAUUAUUAUUAUUAUUAUUCUUCAUUAGCUUUUACACUAGUACAUCCAAAGAUCUACAGAUCUGUGCAUCCACAAAAAGGGCCAAAAGCUUCACACCUUUAGCCUUUACGAUCUUGUUUCACUUCAUUUAUAAAUACUUUAGAUUAGACGUAAAAUUUUACCAUGACUUAGUAGUUUUUAUAAAUUUAGUAAGCGUGUGUGGAUACAAUAUAUUUUCUUUUAAAGUAGUGAACAAAAUCAAAAUAGAGUGCCUAUUUGAUUUUAUUCAAGUGGGCAUUUUAACUUGGAUACCAACAAUUUGUAACUUUGCUAUGAAAACUAAAUUUUAUUCUUAUUAGUCUUAAAUAAGUAACUGAUUACACCUCUGAUUGUGGCAGCCAUUUUUGAAUUACAUCACGUAAAUUUUCAAAACCCUGAAAUGCCUGGUUAAUGUUUAAACGGUUUCCUUUAACAUAGGUGUGCAAUUCCACUUUUGGACUUUUUAUAGUUGAGGGUUUUGUUUUUUGUUUUUUAAAUUAUUUUAUUUUUCAUGCAUUUUUAGUAAGUAACCCAUUCAUUAACUGUAUAGCUAAAGUAACUGAGCUGUAUGCUGUUUCACCAUAUCUGAUACCAAAGGUCCAUUUCCCUGAUUAUAAUUUGUGCAACACCCCCACCACGUGUUCAGCUGAUGGAAAUUUCUGGAUACUUGUUGCUUGUCAUUUUAAAUAAUGGACGAGUUAAAAAAGAAAAACAAUAAUAAAAUCGUAAAAAAAAUAAAUAAAACAAUUGAGCUAUUAUUUACAUGCCUAUUGAUAAAACCUAUAAUUGUUACAUCUUCAGUCACAUUUUAGACCCUGUUCAUGCCACCACAUGGUUUUAAUUUAGAUAUCACUUGUAUGUAUGACCAAUGCAGCCGUGUAACUGUAACUGAACUGUAAUUAACUUUAAAUAAACUCUACAGACGUGAUGUUACCAGAAAACCACGUGACAAGUUUACAACGACUCCAACACAAUCUGCCGCCAUCCGUGAAAUAAACGCCUCAUCGCUGGAAAAUAUCGGCACGUGACAUCUCAACACACAGUAAUUAAUAAAUACAACGUUAGAUUUAUUAAAUAAAGUGAAGAUUAAACGCAUAUUUACCCAGACACAGACCAGCUCCACUCUCUUUGACUGCAGGUUCAAAUGACGGAACACCGAGCUCCUCAUCCUUUUAUCUACAGGCGGCGACUGAACGGCUUAAUUCAGCUUUACCGCCACCUGUUGGAUCGGAGGCUGAACUGACACACUACCCUGUUGAUGAGUGUGCAGGAAAAUCCCAGAUCAGCCAUUUCUGAAAUACUCAGACCAGUCUCUGAUGUUCAGCUUGAACUUCAACAGGUUAUCUUGUCCAUGUGAUUGGCUGAUCAAAUAUUUGCAUUAAGGCAGAAACCUAUAUCAUGAACCAGAGAGCAGUAAACACAUACAAACACAUAAUAAUUAGAAUAUAUGAUUAAUAAAUAAA
This is a long non-coding RNA of Oreochromis aureus, 1912 nucleotides long. Lineage: Eukaryota; Metazoa; Chordata; Actinopteri; Cichliformes; Cichlidae. The record is from Ensembl.